Long non-coding RNA from Helianthus annuus (common sunflower), 660 nucleotides. RefSeq lists it as uncharacterized. The record is from RefSeq and is a predicted model, not a curated record. Lineage: Eukaryota; Viridiplantae; Streptophyta; Magnoliopsida; Asterales; Asteraceae. The transcript is spliced from 3 exons.
AACCCGGUUAAGAUAAAGGAAUGGGUAAAGUACCGUUAGUAGUAAAAGUGAACCCAUAAACAAAAUGACUAGGAAUGAAUUUGCCUAGUGGUAUCAUGUAUAUAAGUAAGAAGAUGAGGAGUUUAGUCCCGUAUGUAAUCAAAAUGAAACAUGAGGGACCAAAACCGUUAAGAUGGAAACAUGGGUUUUAUUUAUGAAAGGUUAAAACACAUAAACACACACUUUCGUGUGUUCUAGAAACGAGCAGGAGCUUCAUGAGAGCUCACAACCCUAACUUUUAUCCAUUUCAUCAGAUUGAAAGGCAAGAUGAAGCUUAAAUUCAUAACCGAACAUGGAUUAAUGAUCACCUUCACAAGGGGAUCAUAAGUAUAGGGAUCAUGUCAAGAUGGAUAGAAGCAUGGAAGGCUAACGGGUCAAAAGGCGGCGAGGAAACGGAUGCGAAUACGGACACUUAAGGUUAGUCAGAUAUUCAUGAUGGACAAGUGAAAGAGGGUCCAGUUGAAGAUCAUGGAUUGUACGGGAAAGUGGUCACGUUGUUUGUAAUUAUUUGUUAACAUAGUUACAUUAAAUAAAUGAUGAAUGAUGUAUUUAUGUUAAAAGGGUUGGCCUAAAUGGUAUUCAAGUAUGAUAGAGUAGUUAAAAGAAAGAAAUUUUACGGUU